UGGGGGACCUUCGGGCCUCACACCACCGGAUGUGCCCAGAUGGGAUUAGCUUGCUGGUGAGGUAAGAGCUCACCAGGGCGACGAUCCCUAGCUGGUCUGAGAGGAUGACCAGCCACACUGGAACUGAGACACGGUCCAGACUCCUACGGGAGGCAGCAGUGGGGAAUAUUGCACAAUGGGCGCAAGCCUGAUGCAGCCAUGCCGCGUGUAUGAAGAAGGCCUUCGGGUUGUAAAGUACUUUCAGCGGGGAGGAAGGUGUUGAAGUUAAUAGCUUCAUCAAUUGACGUUACCCGCAGAAGAAGCACCGGCUAACUCCGUGCCAGCAGCCGCGGUAAUACGGAGGGUGCGAGCGUUAAUCGGAAUUACUGGGCGUAAAGCGCACGCAGGCGGUCUGUUAAGUCAGAUGUGAAAUCCCCGGGCUUAACCCGGGAACUGCAUUUGAAACUGGCAGGCUGGAGUCUCGUAGAGGGGGGGUAGAAUUCCAGGUGUAGCGGUGAAAUGCGUAGAGAUCUGGAGGAAUACCGGUGGGCGAAGGGCGGCCCCCUGGACGAAGACUGACGCUCAGGUGCGAAAGCGUGGGGAGCAAACAGGAUUAGAUACCCUGGUAGUCCACGCUGUAAACGAUGUCGAUUUGGAGGUUGUGCCCUGAGGUGUGGCUUCCGAAGCUAACGCGUUAAAUCGACCGCCUGGGGAGUACGGCCGCAAGGUUAAAACUCAAAUGAAUUGACGGGGGCCCGCACAAGCGGUGGAGCAUGUGGUUUAAUUCGAUGCAACGCGAAGAACCUUACCUGGCCUUGACAUCCACGGAAGACUGCAGAGAUGCGGUUGUGCCUUCGGGAACCGUGAGACAGGUGCUGCAUGGCUGUCGUCAGCUCGUGUUGUGAAAUGUUGGGUUAAGUCCCGCAACGAGCGCAACCCUUAUCCUUUGUUGCCAGCACUUCGGGUGGGAACUCAAAGGAGACUGCCGGUGAUAAACCGGAGGAAGGUGAGGAUGACGUCAAGUCAUCAUGGCCCUUACGGCCAGGGCUACACACGUGCUACAAUGGCGCAUACAAAGAGAAGCGAGCCUGCGAGGGGAAGCGGACCUCAUAAAGUGCGUCGUAGUCCGGAUCGGAGUCUGCAACCCGACUCCGUGAAGUCGGAAUCGCUAGUAAUCGUGGAUCAGAAUGCCACGGUGAAUACGUUCCCGGGCCUUGUACACACCGCCCGUCACACCAUGGGAGUGGGUUGCAA
Molecule: ribosomal RNA, 1233 nt
Filed under: Erwinia mallotivora
Lineage: Bacteria; Pseudomonadati; Pseudomonadota; Gammaproteobacteria; Enterobacterales; Erwiniaceae
Description: bacterial SSU rRNA
Rfam family: Bacterial small subunit ribosomal RNA
Source: RNAcentral